GGGAGGGAGCCGUCGAAGGUGGGAUCGGCGAUUGGGACGAAGUCGUAACAAGGUAGCCGUACCGGAAGGUGCGGCUGGAUCACCUCCUUUCUAAGGAGC
RNAcentral lists this ribosomal RNA (99 nucleotides) under Rhodococcus sp. 05-2255-2A2. RNAcentral describes it as "partial 16S ribosomal RNA". It matches the Rfam family "Bacterial small subunit ribosomal RNA", at positions 1444 to 1533 of the family's 1533-position model. The record is from RNAcentral. Lineage: Bacteria; Bacillati; Actinomycetota; Actinomycetes; Mycobacteriales; Nocardiaceae.